RNAcentral lists this ribosomal RNA (253 nucleotides) under uncultured bacterium. RNAcentral describes it as "partial 16S ribosomal RNA". It matches the Rfam family "Bacterial small subunit ribosomal RNA", at positions 524 to 776 of the family's 1533-position model. The record is from RNAcentral.
UACGGAGGGUGCAAGCGUUAUCCGGAUUCACUGGGUUUAAAGGGCGCGUAGGCGGCAAUUCAAGUCAUCUGUGAAAUCUCCGGGCUUAACUCGGAACGGUCAGAUGAUACUGUCUUGCUAGAGUGCAGAAGGGGCAAUCGGAAUUCUUGGUGUAGCGGUGAAAUGCGUAGAUAUCAAGAGGAACACCUGAGGUGAAGACGGGUUGCUGGGCUGACACUGACGCUGAGGCGCGAAAGCCAGGGGAGCAAACGGG